GAAUGGAUAAGCGCUGAAAGCAUCUAAGCGCGAAGCCAACUUCAAGAUAAGAUUUCCCACCGCAAGGGUAAGACCCCAGAAAGACUAUCUGGUUGAUAGGUCGAAGGUGUAAGUGCAGCAAUGUAUUUAGCUUAUCGAUACUAAUAGGUCGAGGACUUGACCAA
Molecule: ribosomal RNA, 164 nt
Filed under: Clostridioides difficile
Lineage: Bacteria; Bacillati; Bacillota; Clostridia; Peptostreptococcales; Peptostreptococcaceae
Description: partial 23S ribosomal RNA
Rfam family: Bacterial large subunit ribosomal RNA
Source: RNAcentral